UCUUGAACUCCUGGUCUCAAGCGAUCCUCCCACCUUGGCCUCCCAAAGUGCUAGGAUUACAGGUACGAGCCACCACACAGGGCGACAAAUGAUUUUUAGUAAUUCCAUGUUUCACAGUAAUUGUUUCAUUUAGCAAUUAAUAUAGGCAAGUGAUAGAGACAAGUUCUCAAUUUAGAGAAAGAUGAGAUUGUUGGCAGGGUAGUCAGUGGUGACUUCGUGCGUGAGCAGGAACCUUGGCUUUCAGGGAGAUGAGUCAAAAUGCGAUGAUAGUAUUGGGAGAUCAGUACUGAGGGGUGGAGCCAUGAUAGUCCCAAGGUGCAGCGCCUGGCCUGAGAGCGUGAGAAAGGCAUCUAGAAGAGGGGAAACCUGUACUGAGUUUGAGGGGUGAGUGGUGUUACCUAGACAGAGGAAGGUGAGCAGGCACUCAAGGAGGAGAAGCCUGGCAACAUAUGCAAGAGAGGGAUUUAGGAACCUCUACAUCUUCUGUCUGCAUAUUUAGGGUGAGCUUUAUUAACAUAUUAUUUAACAGUAUCAUACACCCUACCUUAUACAGUGACUUGAAAUAAAUAUUCCUUUAUUCCCCUUUAAGGAUUUCAGCAGGCAGCUGAUGUAAUCGUACUUGCACUGCAACCUCAAGAGGAAUCUCUGCCUAAAUGAAACAAAGUGGAAGUAUACCAUGUACUCUUCUCUACCUUGAUAUUUUUUACUUGAGUCAUUUUGGAGGUGCUUCCAUAUCAGCACAUGUACAUCACCUCAUCUUCAAUGCUGUGUAGUAUUCCAAGUAUGGAUUCAACCACUGCUAUCAAUAUACAUUUAAAUGUUUUUCCUGGUUUUUACAAUCUUAUAAUUAAGUGAUGUUGUCAUAAAUAACAUGUAGAUAUGUCUUUGCAUUUCAGCGCUAGUAUAUCUGUAGAAUAGAAUAUCAGAAAUAAAAAUGCUAUUCCAAAGAA
Molecule: long non-coding RNA, 950 nt
Organism: Sapajus apella (tufted capuchin)
Lineage: Eukaryota; Metazoa; Chordata; Mammalia; Primates; Cebidae
Exons: 3
Source: RefSeq, a predicted model, not a curated record